GCAUGUAUAUAUAUAUGCUUGCUUACAAGGUUUGUCUCUCAGAGUCCUUCUCUUUGUACUCUUUUCAGCUUAAUAUAUAAACUGUCUACUUAUUUACUUCUUUUAUUGCCAUUGAUUCUAGUAGUAUUAGACUCAUUAACUUGGAUACAUUGUCUUGUAAGAGAUAGCUUAUCUCUUAACAACUGUUUGGGUCAACAAAAUUAAUGUAUAUAUGAAAACGAAUAUUGAAUUUGGAUGUCCAAUCAAUUUUUUUAAUUAAUUAAUUAAAAAGAAUUGUUUUAAUUCAAAAAAUCUAAAAGAAUUUGAUAAAAAAUGUGGAAGGGCACACUUGUAUGAUGAAUAGUAGUGAUAAUAAUGAUAGAAGUCGUUUUCCUAGCACAAGUAUGGGAUUCGUCCAUUUGGUUUUAUAUUUAUCCACUUGCCUGAGUGUUUAAGAGUUAAAAAGGACAAAACUAUUAAGUAGAAAACACCAAACGAAUUGGAAGGCUUUUGUCUUCUUCAAUUAGUAUGACCUAUAUUUCUUAUUAAACUUCGUAUUUUACAUUCAAUAUCAUCAUCGCAAUCAUUUUAAUUUAUUUUCAUGAAUAAACUUUUAUGUCCCAUUUUAAUUGAAUCAUUAAAAAUUAUUAAUUGAAUUUUUUUUAAGUCAAGUGAUACUAAUUUGAUUUUUUUAAAAAAGUUGUUUGAAUUAAUUUGAUUUCGUGUCAUAAUUGACAUAAAUGGCCAUUGUGAAUGGCAACAUCAAUAGUUAUUGAGUACAGCGGCUAAAAUUUUCAGUUAAAAAAAAAAGAAUGAAAGGAAAACAAAAAGAAAAACGUGGAAAGAAAGAAAGAAAGAAAGAAUAAUAAUAAUAAUAAUAAUAAUAAAUAAAAUAGAAUUGUGGGGGCGAUGCUUUUGAACAAAUCUUGAUUUAAACUAUAUAAAGAAAAUAUGUGUUAUAUAUAUAAUUAAUUAUGUACUUAUACUUAAUAUAUUAUAUAUCUAAUGUCAUAUUUUCAUAUUCUCAGGAAGUGGUGACAUACAAAUACUUGAUUCGAUUUAUUUCUUUAGCUCCCCGUGAAUUGUAUGUUUGUAACAUUAGGGAUAGAAUUUCUUCAAUUAUCCAAUUGACUGGACGUAUUGUGUCGAUUUUUUUUUAGUAAUAUACCUAGAAAUACCCGUUGAUUCUUUAUAAACGCUGUUUCGAACACAACUGGUACACUCUAAAAUAAUUUACUUGAACAUCAUUACUCUUAGCCAUGAACCUCCUUUGAGUUUUUAAUUCACCCAACUUUUUUAUUUUCCGAUCAAAAGCAAAGAAGAAAGGAAUGAAAAGAAAAGAAAGAAAUCAAAGUUGCUAACUCAAAACCAAAUCCUGAAAAUUUUCAUUUCAAUGAAUAUAGUAAGUAAAUAUAGAUUUAUAGUAAUAGCAAAUAAUAAGAAUUAAGUAAUAUAACGAUUUUUAAUUCUAUUUAGAAUCAAUUAAAAUAUUCAAAUAAAUAUUCAAUUAAAAUAAAUUAAACUGUAUAAAUUUUAUAAUUUUAAAUUAUUAUUUUUGUAUUAAUUUAAAAACAAAAUAAAUAUUAUAUACAAUGAUUUAGUUACAGCGUGUCAGCUUGAAGUCUAAGACUUUAUAACAUAUAAAUUUAAUAGAUAAUUAAUAACUAAAAAAUUAAAUAGCAAAAGCAUAAUUGCGCCACUUCUCACCAUUUUAAUGUAUGCAACUUAUUAUAUAUUUAUAUAUAUUAUCAUUUUAUUUUAAAUAAUUUAAUUUUAUAAAUUUAGGGAUAAAUCUCAAAAUUAUACAUGAACUUUAAUUUAAUAUGCAAUUGUAUAUAUAAACUUUAAUUUGGUACAAUUAUACACGUGAUACUUUAAUUGUGGUUUAAAUACUCACUUGAAACUUUAGUUUUGAUUUAAUAAUGCAUAUUUAAAUAAAUAAAUACAUCAAUUUUUUUAUAUUGGGUAAAUAUAAUUAUUUAUGUAUGCAAUAUAUAACAUAAAAUGAUGUUAUAUCAAUAAUUGUGUUAAUAAUUUUCAAGAAUUGGAUCAAAUCAAAAUUUCAUGUAUAAAAUUGAACAAAAUCAAAGUUAAUGUAUACAAUUGCACAUUAAACCAUAAUUCAUGUAUAUUUUUUUGUAUAUAUCCCAUAAAUUUAUUUCAUUAACUUUUUACCUAUAUCAUAUAUAGAGUUGUUCGUGAACCGAGCCAAGGAAUGCCUGCUCGAAAAAAUGAGAGGGUUUGGCAAAAAAAUAUAUGCCUAAAAAAUGGGCUUGGAUAAAAAGACAAGGCCCGUUUAGAAAAUGAACCGGCAUUGAGUAGGGUUUUUUUGUCCGGGCUCAGCCUAACCCGAAUUUUCAAUUAAAAAAAACCUUGUUGUUUUUGCUGCUAUUUUUCCAUAUCUUGGUGUUGUUUUCUCACUUUUUGCCGCUAUUUUACUACCAUUUCACUAUUAUGUUACUACUAUUUUUUUUAAUGUUUGGAUAUAGUAUAAUAAUUGUUUUAUUGUUAAUUUUAUCACUAUUUUAGAGACAUUUGUUUGUUAUGUUGUACUUAUUUUAGUUUUUAUUUAAGUAUAAAAAAAUUUAAAAUUUAUUUUCAAUUUAUUGAUAAACAUGUAAUUUAAUAUUUUCAGUGUAUUUAUUGUAUUAUAUUUGUUAAAUUUAUAUAAAAUUAAAAUUAAAAAAAUAUGGACCGAGAUGGGAGUUUAACAAAAAUUUAGGCCCAUUUUUCAAGUCGGGCCGAUCUCAAACCUAACAAUCGGACUUAAAAUUUUGUUAGAGCUCGGCCCAUCCCAUGAACAACUCUAAUUAUAUAUAUAUGUCAUUCUCUAAUAAUAAUAAUAAUAAUAAUAAUAAUAAGUGGAUAACAUAAAACUAGUAGUAAAGAGUAAGAAGACAAAGAAGAAUUAAGUGGAUAACAUAAAACGUGCGAAAACAUUUAUCUUCAAUUCUGACACAUAAAGCUAGUAUUUUUGGGUAAAGUAUAGAAAUGGUGAUUAAAUUAUUGUUGAUGUUCUAUUUUAAUUUUUAAUUUUUCUAUUUUAGUUAUUAAAUUAUUUGAAAUUAAAUUUUUUGGUUAUCAAAGGUUAACAGUAGUUUGAAAUUUAACAGAAAUAUUGAUGUGAACUUUUCUUAUUGAUUUAAUAAUAAAUUUAGCCUUCUAAUAUUUAUAUAUUCUAUUAAUUUGAUACUAAAUAUAAAAAUUUAACAAAUUUAACCUUCAAUAUUUACAAAUUUUGUUAUUUUAAUUCAAAUUCUAAAAAAAAUUUAAUAAAUUUAACCCUCAACAUUAAAAAAUUUGAUAAAUUUCAAUUUUUAAAAUUUUGUAAAUUCCUAAAAUAUAAAGCAUCAUUCUCCACCUCAUAGGAUUCCAUGUAAAUGGAUUUUCUUGAAUUCUUUACCAAGUUGUCUUGAGUUUAAUUUCUUCUUAUUUAGUUUGUGGAAUAAAUGGCAUAUAGUUAGAUGUCACUGCAGCUGACAAUGAAAGGUUUGACAAAGUUGAUAAAUUCAGAGCUUUUGAUGCUGAGCUUCAAAUCAGUCUUGCCUCCACUCACCCAAGAAAUCAACUUUACAAUUUUUAUUAAGUCUUAACUAGAUUAAUAUGAGUAUUGUUAUCAAUAUAGGAGAAAGUGAAUUUUAGUGCGUUGAAACACAUUAUCUUCUUAUUGAUGAAUUGAGGAGGGGCUAUGAAUAGUUUUAAAUAUUAUAUUAAAAAAGCAGAGAUAAUUGAAACCUACAAUAAUAUUGUUCAAAAAAAUUACCUAAAAACACGAAAUCUUACUCCCUGAAUUUUCUAGAAACACAAAUAUUUCUCCCUGCCUUUGAUGGUGUAUACAUGCAUGGCCAUGUGUGAGCUCCUGCAUUUUAACUAAUCAACACAGAUAAUACCCUCAAUGAGACAUUAAAAUUAACUUUUAUUUUUGUUUUUUCAUAAAUUUUAUAAUUUUGUAUUUCAAUGAAAAAAUCUAAAUCUAAGUUGAUCCGAGUCCAAAAAAAAAUCUGAAGCUGUAAAAAGUUUGAUCUGAGGCUGCUCAUUUGCCACCUCUAAUAACCAUUUGAUAGAGGUUUAAUAUAAAGGAAUUUAGAUUUUAGGAAUUUAUAAAAUUUUUAAAAUUAAUUUUUUAUUUGUAAAUACUAAGGGAUAAAUCUAUUGAAGUUUUUAAAAUUUGAACUGAAAUGUCAAAAUUUGUAAACAUUGAAGGCUAAAUUUGUUUAUUUUUUCUAUUUAAGACCAAUCUGAUAGAAUGUGUACACAUUAGAAGACUAAAUUUAUUAUUAGACCAAUAAAAAAAUGCCCAACUUAACGCUUUCUCAAAUUUCAAACCGAUGUUAAUAUUCAAUGACCAAAAUUUUUUAUUUCAAAUAGUUUAGUGACCAGAAUAGAAAAAAAAUUAAAAGUUUGAUGACCAAAAUAGAACGCGGAUAAUAAUUUAAUGAUAUUUUUAUACUUUAUCUGUUUUUUAUGAUUAUUUAUACAUAUCAAGUGGAGCUAAUUUAGGGAAAAGAAUCAAUGGUUAAGGUUGUUGUUGAUACUUAAUGAUCAGGGUCCAAAUUUUGCUAAUGUAAUUUUCCUUAUCAUAAUUUGUAUCUUAAUUUUGUUACCAAAAAAAUAUUAGUAAUAAAUAAUAUAUGCUCGAGAAAUGUACGUAUGAUUGAUUUAAACAAUACAUGUUGGAGUAAUUUACAUAUGGAUUUAAAAUAAAUUUUAAAAAUAAAAUAAAAUUUUAAAAAUCCAAAAGUAUUUUUUCUUUUAAAAAAAUUUAAAAAUAAUUUUUAAAUUAUUUACAUGAUUGAUUUAAAGGAUUUCUUUCUAUUAAUUAUUUUUAUAUUAAAUUUAUUUUCCUUUAUGUAUAACAUUUAAAGGGUUUGUAUAUAUGCUAACUCGCGAGUCAAUUAAAAUUUGUAUUAUAUUCAUUGAAUUUUUUUAAAAUAUAUAUUUUAUUAAUUUAUUUAUUUAUUUGAGACCCAUGAUAAACUUGUAUUUAAAGUUAUUGGUGCACACUAUAAAUUCAUAUAUUGAAAAUGAUAGGUGCUAAAAGUAACAUGUUUUAGUCUCAUUCUUAAUGUGUUUUUGGAUGAUUAUUCGAUAUAAAAUGGUUAAUUUUAUGCUACUAAACUUUUCAAUUUACGUUCUACACUUAAUAGAGCAUUUAGGAGCAAAAGAAGCGAAAAACGAGCGAAAAUAAAAAAAAUAGGAGCAAGUCUCAAAAGCCACACAGGCUGAGCCAUUCCACACGGGUUGGACACAUAACCGAGUGAGCCACACGACCAUGUGCUAGACUGUGUGGAAAUCGCAAAUUACACUCCAAACGGCGUGAAAACACGUUAAUUUUAAGGUUUUUUAAGCAUUUUAAUACCUAUACAUGACAAAGAUAAGAAGAGGGGAGAGAGUCGUCAGAAAAUAUUAAAGAAAACAACUUAAAAAACACCAUUGAAGCUAACUUUGAAGCAAAUUUUCAUCAAGAUUGAAGAUCUCAUUUUGAUUUUUUUGAAGUUUAUUAUGAGUUUCUUUAUUUAUUGUAGUUAUACUGUCUUUAGGAUGUUUUUAUUUGCUAUCAUGAACGAAUUUUCUAAAUACCUAGGGAGAUGAAUCCUAUCAUGAAUUAUGUUAUUUGAUUUCUAUUUUUACGUAAUAAAGACUUAGAUCUUAUUCUCAAUUAUGUGUGCUUAAUUCUUGGUUUAAUAUUUCUAGACUAUUAAUCAAUGUUUGAUGUGCUUAAAUCAGAGGAGGAAUAAACCCUAUUUAAGAGUAGAUCUAGCGUAAAUGAGUGGAGUUGCAUGCAAUCCUAGAAAUAGGACAACAUAAAUCUACCGUAAUAGAUCCAAAUCUAAUAGGGGAAUCUAUAGAUCGAGUUAAUACGAUGAUAGAGGUUUUAAUUAGAAAUAAAUUUCAGUUAAUUAACCUAGAGUCAGUUACUCUUAGUCUUGAAGAGAUAUAUUAGCAUAAUUUAGGGAUUUUUACAGAUCAAUAUUCUAAGUGACGAAGUUGUGUAAUAUAGAUUGAUAAUGACAUAUGAAGUCUAGGUAGAUUCUUUCCUAGGUAUUGUCUCGCUCUUGGUUAUUAUUUGAUUAUUUUCUUGAUUUGUGCUUUGUUGUGUUAUUUAGUUAACUAAUUUAGUUAAUUUUAGUUCCAACCAAUCACUCCAAUUUAUCAGUUAAAUAAUAGAAAAGACGGUAAUUACUGGUACUUUUAGUCUUUGUGAAAACGAUAUCUUUGCUCACUAUAACUAUACUAUUAAUUGAUGUGCACUUGUCUGAGUUAGAUUUUUAGUUGGUUUACGACUGCAAUCAAAAAACUCAUUAAGUUAGCACAAACUAAGUUAAUUAUUCGUUGGUUGCUUUAUUUUUUUUCCUGAAGUUUCGAUUUCAUCUUUCAUUAUGUACAACAAUUUUGGUAUAAAAAUAUCAAAUUCUCGACACUUAAUAUAUACCUUUGAAAUAUAAACACAUGCAUCAAUUUUUUUAGGUUCCUCACAACUUACUUGUCCAAAAUUCUUGUAUCUUUCAGUUCUCCUGAUUGAAUCAAAAUUUGACUUUGUAAUUAUUUUUUAAGGACCUCAAACUAUCAAUUUAUAGUAUAAAUUUUCAAUAGCUUUCAUUCUUUACAAAUUGGUCCCUAAUUAAUCAACAAUGGUAUUAAAGCUUAAGCUUAGGGUCCCGUUGUUUCACUGAAAAUGGCUUUCGAAAAAUAAUUUCUAGAAAAUGACUUACUUUCCUAGAAAAGUUAAUAUUUUCUGAUGUUUGGAUGAAUCAGUGUAAAAUAUUUUAUAUUGUUUGACAAAUUUCUUAAAAAUAUUUCAUAAAAGCUGUUUUCAAUGAAACAAACAUGCAUUUGAGAUUUUCUUAUCUUUUCAUUGUUUAAUUAAGUUUAUCUUAUAUCUAUAAAUUUAUAUUUUACAUUUUUUUGCAUAUAAUAAAAAUAUAUAUUUUUUAAUUCAGGUUCACUACCAUGUCACUUUUUAGUUACAUGACUACCAAGUGAGUAUUUUUUUUAUUUAAAAAUGUGACAUCAACAAAAUUGACAAAAAAAAAAUUUAGCAAUGUCAACAAUUGGACUUGAUUUUCAAAUCUGAAAAGUAGAGGGACUAAAUUCUUGAAAAUAAAAGUAUAGAGACUAAAUUGAAAAUUUGUGAAGAAUACAUAGACUUAUCACAUUUUUUAACUUUUAUACUACAAAAUAUUUAUCAUUAAUAUAUUUAUAAUUAUAAUAAAUAUUUAUUAUUAAAAUAUUAAUAUUAAAUAUUUUCAAUAAGAAGAAUAUUAUUUAAAAUUAUUUUUUUUAAUUUUUUAUUAAAAUAAAAUUGAAAUAUUAAAUAAUUUAUUAAAAUAAUUAAUUUUAUUAAUAAUUAAUUUUAUGACUAAAUAUAAAUAAUUAAAUAUGUGUGUUUAAUAAUAUUGAAAUAUAUAAUAUUUUAUAUUAAUAUUUUAAAUAUUUUUAAAAAUAAAAAUAAAAUUUAUUUUCAAUAUAAUAAUAUUAAUAUUGAUUUAAAUGAAUUUUUAUAUAAAAAUAAAAUUACCUAUAGAUGAGCUCUUUUCCAGAAAAUGACUUACACUUUUCAAAAGGAUAAGUCAUUUUAUAGGAAAAAGAGUUCAAUUUUACAUUGACCUGUAAGUCAUUUUCCGAUGACCAAAAUGUUUUCUGUAAAAUAAACAUAAGAAAAUGAAGAAAAUAUUUUCCGUAAAACCUUUUACAUGUAAACAAACGGACCCUUAAUUCAAGCUUGUUCUAACAUAACCCACUUCACUAUUAGCAUGACUCUUCCUUAUACUAUGUUUAACCAUUAACCCUUCUCAUGAUUUCUAACAAAAAUUCUCUAAGUUCUCUUUAAUGGAAACUUCUAUUAGCUUCAACAAUAAGAAAUUCUAACCAUUGGGUUGGUUGUAUCAAGUUUCAUAGUUUAAAAAACUAUAAAAAAAUUAUUUAGAAAACAAUUUGUUUACCUUUGAUGGCCUUGAUGGAGAACAACUUGGUUUCUUCUUCUACUUAGUUUAAAGAAUGCAUGAAGAAGAAGAAGAUUUCCCCUCUCCCUCUAUCUUAAAUAUAUAUAUAAAUAACCUAUUAAUCAAGGUAAUUAACUCACUAAUUAAUCUUAAUUAGUUAUGAUCUAAUGGCCAUAAACUUACCAUAAGAAAAUUAGUGGAAAUGUGUGGCAUUGAUAAUGGUUUGCCAAUAAUCAAACUUCGGGCAUGGUAAUAUUGCAAUCAGGUCCUUGGUUUAAUUACACUUUAAGUACUUGCUAAAUUCUCUAAUCAAUUCCCACUAGUUGGAUCACUUGAACAAUUGGGUCCAUGUAUUAUAGUUACAACUUAUCUAAUUUAAUCAAUUAAUGAUUUGACUUUAUAAUUUCAUGUGCAACACACAAACUCCUCCGGUAAAUUCUCAAGCUAGCUUUAUUUAAAAAUUUGGCCUCAAAACCAGCUUUCCAAAUGUUCAUGAAAAUUGAGUUGUUACAUUAUGGUAUUUGUUUUGUUCAGCUUAUUUGUCAAGCUCUAUUCCUUUGAACUUAUGUUCGUUGACUUUGGUGUUGCUUAAAUGAAAAUGUGGUGAACAAUAUUAUGGAUAGGAGGAGUGUAUGAUUGAGUAUGUGUAACACCCCUAACCCACAUCCUUCGCCAAAUUAAAGUGACAGAGUGUUAUUAUUCAAAACAGAACAUUCCAUGACAACACAUAAACAAUUAUGCAAAUUAUCACAAUCAUUAAUUAACCAUAUUAAAAUAUAACAUAAGUAUCCAUACGACCUUUAAAUCGAGCUUAUAUGGCCUUAAAAAUAGCUUGGGAUCAAUCUAGGAUCAAUUUGGAACAUAACAUAAAUUUUAAGAAAAAUCUAAAAAUUUUGGGAAACAUGGGUCACACAACCGUAUGUCCAGGCCGUGUGACAUAGCCCAGACCUUGUGGGAAUUCAAAAUCAGGACACUCAAUCAUGUCCUAGCCCGUAUGUCUACCUGUGUGAAUAUUUGAAAUAGGGUCCCACAGUCGUGUCGCGGCCAUGUGCUAAACCGUGUAUAUAUUCAAAUUAUGAACACAUGGCCGUGUCGCAAGCCAUGUGCUAGACCGUGCUCAAAACUAUUUUGAGACACACAGCUGUGCCUUAGGCUGUGUGAAAUUUUCACUUUAGACAACGACACACAGCCGUGUGCCAGACCAUGUACACCAAAAUGUACCUUAAAAAUCAAAUUUACCAAAACAUGUUUACUUAGGCAUCAAGCAACCUAAUUACCAUCAAUCAAACUCAUUCAAAACACAAUUAAACAGGUUCAAAACAUCCAUCCUAAGUGCCUAGCCAUUGUGCCCUCAUUGACAUCAUAAUUCAAUAAUCAAAUCAAUCACAUUUAAACCAAGAUUUAAACAUUCAAAUUAUAAAAUCAUCAUUAACCAUUCAUACCAAAACACUGAUCAUUUCAAGUCAUAAACACCUAGCAAUAUUCACAUACUUUAUAAAGCUUAACUACCAAUACCAAAUAAGAUCCAUACACACAUACAUACCAAACAAAACACAUAUUCACAAGUAUCAUUCAAGAUUUACAACUUUACAUGUAAUUAACAUAAUUUCAAGUCAAUUAUUACAUGUCAUACAACCCAAAACAAACACUAAACAAACUACCAAUAGUUUCUCGAAUAGUGUGAUUCUUGAAAUCAAAUUGAUCACCCGAAGCGUCAAAAAUAAAUCUACAAGAAAGCAUUGGAAGAGACACAAGAGUAAGCUUACUUAAGCUUAGUAAUUUCCAUGGAUUUAAACAAUCAACUUACCGGAUAAACUUAUCUAAUAUAGAGUAUAGAAAAGUCAUAAAUCAUAAUCAUGUCAUCCAUAAUCAGAUCACGAGUGAGUCUUAAACUUAAAUAUGAAUGAAUUAAUUCAAUCAAUUACAUUAUAUCACUAAAUUAUACCCGAUGAACGUUGCAAUGGAUUUGGAUACACAGUUAACCAACCAAACACUCCAAAUCACUCAAAUGAGCUAGCCAUCUGAAAGUACACAUGGGCACCAAGUGCCAAGCCCAUAGGCUAACAUCCCUCCGAAACACACCUUGUCACCAAGUGCCAAGCCCGUAAGCUUUACAUCUGCCCCAGAAACACACCUGAAGCACUGCAAUAUAACGUAAUAGUUCGCAACAAAUGUUGAACUUCAAUAUAUUCAAUAAACAUGAAUAAGAUCAGAAUCAUCAUCUCCACAUCCACCAAUCUCGUAAAGCGCACGAUAUAACUUAUUGACAUGCCAAUUGUAUCCUAUCAUACAUUCAUCGGCUCACAUAUUUGUCAUUUAACAACAUUUAAUACAAUUUCUUUCCCAAAUCAUUUCACUUACCACAAUUCAAUACUUCCAUGUCAUUUAAUAAUUUCAAUCCACAAGUAAUUAAAUAUUUAAAUUAUACUAAAAUUAAACUGUACAAACUCACUAGGGCCAAAUUGCAGAAACAACAAAAGUUCAGGGACUAAUCAACAACCUUCCCUUUUUCCACAAUUAUCAACUUGAUCUUGAUCUAUAAUAUAAUUUAUUUCAAUUAUUAGCCUCAAUUUUCAUAUUCUAAUCAUUUCAAAACAUAUGAUCUCUUAUUUAUAAAUUUACACAUUUAUCCCAAAUUUUUACAUAUUAUACAAUUUAAUCCCUAUGACCAAAUCAAGCUUAGUUCUACAAUUAAAUUCUCAAUCCAUAGAACUAAAUUUUAACCACAUCCAAAACAAUCCAUAUAUGCUAAAAUUUUCAAGAGUAACAUGUCUAUUUCAGUUAAAUCACUAAACAUCAAAUUUUGUAAAAAUCACUUACAAACUCAAUACAUAUGGUCACCAAGCUUCAACCCAAACUAUUUACUACUACAAAUCUUCGAAAAUUUCAAUACAUAAUUUCUAUACUUUGAUAACUUCACAAAUAAACUCCAAAACUAGCUAAAUUCCAUUAUCAAUAGCUCAAAACUUAAAAUUUGAUGAUGAAUAAACCAAGAAAAUACUUACAUGCAUUAAAAACUAACAAAAACCAAGAUCCAAGCCUUAGAACAAUGGUGUUUCGGCCAAACCUAAGAAAAAUAAAGAAGAUGACCACUACCCCACUUUUGUUUUACUUUCCUUUUAUUAUUAUAAUAAUCUUUAUUUAUGAAAUUAUAACAUUAUAAAACACCAAUUUAAUUUUUUUUCUCUCUUUACCGCCCAUAUUAACUAACUAUGGGCUAAUGGCAACAUAACCUCCCUUAGUUUACUAAUUUAAGCUAUUAUAUUAAAAUAAAUCUAUAAUAAGCAACUUUUCCACCUAUUACAUAUUAAUCUUUUUUCUUUAAUCAAUUCACUAUACGUUAAAUUUUCUAAACCAAAACUUAAUACGACACUGAUGACUUUGUAAAUAUUAAAUAAUUAAUAAUUCUAGACUGACACGUCGAAAGUGUAGUCCUAAAACUAUUAUUUUCGACACCACUGGAAAUCGAACUGUUAUAGUAUGAUUCUACCUCUUAGGGGGAGACGUAUUCUAGUUUCCUUUGACUUGUUUAGAUGAUGUGUUAAUCAUUUGCUACUGGUUUUGUCAAAAUGCCAAAUGGUGAGAUUGUUUCAAACUUUGUUCAUGUUCGAACAUUAGAUUAAACAAUGCUUAAUUUGAUGCAUUCAAAGAAUUUAUGUUGGCAUGUUUGACUUUAUAAUGAAAUGGCUUAUGAUUUAAUCUCGUUGAGUAGCAAAUGGGGAAGUGAUUUUGUGUUAUAACAUGUGAUGAUCAUUAUCUUUCAAUCAACUACCUUGAAGAAGAAUGGGAGGAGUUUGAACUUUUGUGGACUUUCGUAAUAUUUGAAGCUGCUAAGAUACUUGUUUAUAAAGACUUUUAUGAUAUAACUAAUCAAAAUAAUUCAUGUCAGAAUUUUUGGAGUUUUAAACUUAUGAAGACUCUAGUAUUGGCCUAUAAAUAGGCAUAAUUACCGCACAUUGAAAAUAGGCUUUUGGAGGGUUUAAGUUGGAUGCUUUGGUGAAUUUUUCCUGUGUUUUAUACAACACUCUUUUUUAAGUUUUUAUUGGGGGAUAUUUGCUUGAUUGUAAGUGAGAUAUUUUGGAGAGAGUGAUUUGUAAUAAUUUAGGUUCAAUAUUGAAGUUGCAAAUAACUACAAGGUAAUGGUAAUUUGGACUCUAGUCAAUAGUUAAUCAAGACGAAUUGUAAAUAAAAAUUAUUUUUUAAGUGAAACUUUACAGAAUAAAACUAGUGAACUCAAACUACGCUAACAAAUAUUAUAUACUAUCUUUCCUUACUUUACUCGUUGCUUUACCUUAUUUUAAAAUUGCUUUGUCAUAAAUGUAUUAUGUUUGACCCUUUCCGAUCGAAAUAAAAAAAUGAGAUUGAAAUUGUGAUAAAGCUAAAAAAAAGUUACAACAAAUAUGAUUAAUAUUAUUUUUAUAUAUACUUACUAAAAUUUAAAAAGGAAUUACAUUUAUCGAAUAUUAUUUUAUUUAAUAAAUAUAAUUAAUAUAUUUUAUAUAAAAUUUAAACUUUUUAUUAUUUGUUAGCUAAAUUUUAUUAUUUUUAUUUUCUUUAUGAAUAAAAUUAAUUUUCCUAAAAUUUGAGAUAAAAAAAUGUUAUAUAGAAAAUUAAAUUAGUAAAAAGUGCAGUUCAUACUUUAUAAUUAUUAUAAAUGAAAAAAUAUUAUAAAAGAUAAAUAUUAAACAUAAAAAAAUCAAUUCUAAAAUAAACUUAACUAUUAUAAUAAAAUAUUUUUAUAUAAAAAAGAAAUUAUAGAAAAGACUUACUGAUUAUAUUUCCAAUUUUCGACAUUCAUAAAAAAAAAGUGGUCCUAAUAAUUUAUUUAUACAAAAAAAAAAGUGGUCCUAUUAAUUAACCUCACAUUUGAAAUGUGUUAUAUGUAAUAAUAUUAAUAUCUUUAUCAAUUUUGGAGGUUCAUCCUUUCCCAUCUCUAUAAAUUCGCAUGGAGAAAUAAAGCAAUACAUCAACACAAUCUGUAUAACCAUGAAAACCACAACAGCUUCAGUGUUUCUUCUUUUCAUCAUCUUCUCAGUCACACCAUCAUCCUUUUUGUUUGGUGUAGCCAACGCUACAAACGAACCUGUACUCGACUUUGAUGGCAACGAGGUUCAAACAGGCACCCCAUAUUACGUUGUGUCGUACAUAUGGGGUGCUGGUGGUGGGGGGCUUGACCUAGGCAGGCCUAGUGGAAACCCAUGCCCGGAAGUCGUUGCUCAAAGAGGAUCCGGUGACAAUGGUAUUCCGGUGAUAUUUUCUAAUUCGGACUCCAACGAUGGCGUUGUUCGCCUAUCCUCUGACAUAAACAUAGAGUUCAUUUCCCUCAGACCCAAACUUUGCCGAACAACAACAGUGUGGAAGGUCGAUGAUUACGACCAUUCAGCCGGAAAAUGGUGGGUGAUAACCGAUGGGGUUAAAGGGAACCCAGGUGCCAACACUUUGACCAGUUGGUUUAGAAUAGAGAAGGUGGGUACUGAUUUUCAAUAUUACACAUUUAAGUACUGCCCCGCAGUAUGUGGAACAUGCCCAGCCUUAUGCAACCAAAUUGUGAGAGACUUUGAUGGAGAAAUGGUACGUUUGGCUCUCACCACUGGCCAUGGAUGGCCAUUUAUCUUUAAGAAAGUUGGAAAAUCAGCCAUGGAGAUUGAACAAGUUGUUCAUAAUUAGAUUGAAAGCAAUCAUUAUGCAUGAACUAGUAGUUACUACAUAAUAUUAGCUUCAAGUAAAUAAUGCUGAGGGAACUUAUUGUUAAGAUUGCCUUGUUUGAAGCGGCAGCAUGUAUAUAUAUAUGCUUGCUUACAAGGUUUGUCUCUCAGAGUCCUCCUCUUUGUACUCUUUUCAGCUUAAUGAAUAAACUGUUUACUUAUUUACUUCUUUUGUUGCCAUUGAUUCUAGUAGCAUUCGACUCAUUAACUUGGAUACAUUACCUUGUAAUUAACCAAAAAGUUAUGUGUAUAUAUAUAAAGAGUGUGUGAGAGAAAAAAUAGAAUACCAAGUACCAAGUGAAAAAUGUUAAUACUAGGAUUAUUCAAAGCGAUUUCAAUGAACAGAAAUGGAAUAGUCGUCGGGUGGUUAGGGCAUUUUAUCUUUAGAGAUAAAGAAGGUUGGUUCAUGUUCGGAGUUUGUGGCUACUCCUUCAAUAAUAUCGUUUUUAAAGUUUAAACUUGUAUCACAUUUUAAACACGUAAUGUAUCUUACCAUUACAUCCAACAAUAUUAACCAUUUACUCUAUUGUAUUGUAUUGUAUUCUAUUAUUAAUUAAUGAUUAUGAUAUGUAUUAAGUUUAAGAUGAAUUUUCUCAGUAAUAUAUAUCAAUGGAAUCAAAUAUUUGUAUUUAAAGUUUUAACUCCACAUUAACUUUUUCUUUAUUUUGUCCGUUUGCUGGCGAUGAUUAGGAGAUUAAUGGUUGGUAUUUGUGGUUAGUAGGUUAUAACUCAAUAGUGAACUCGAGGGUUGAUAGUGGCCCGACUCCACUUAAAUAAAAAAUUUUACAUUUAAAUCUCUUUAUAAUUUAUAAAAUUUUAAAUUAAUAAUAAAAAAAUUAUAUUUUAACUCUCUAAAAUUAAUAAAAAUGAUAAAAAUGUAGAAGUAAAUUUAUACAAUUAAUGAUAAUAAUGAUAAGAAGUUGUUUCCUGUCACAUGGAAAUUUAUGGCAUCGUCCAUUUGGUUUUAUAUUUGUCCAUUUGCUUGGUUAAGAGUUGAAAGACAAACUAUAAUUAAGUAUACAAAACCAAACGAAUUUCAAGGGUUUUCUCUUCAAUUAUUGUCGAAUUUAGCUAAUUAUUAGUAAUUUUUAUUAUUUAAUUAUAAAAAUUAUAAAAUAAUGACUUAAUUAUAAGAAUUAUAAAAUAGUGACUUAAUUAUAAAAAUAUAUAUAAAUAGCCAUCUAAUUAUUUAAUUUUUUUUCUUUUUUAUCAUCACCGGAUUAAUGGUGGUAAUUUUUAUAAUUGACAUAAUAGUAACUUUAACCAUUAAUAAUUAUACAUUAUGUCAAUUUAGUCUUGAUUCUAAAAAAUUUAACCUUUGACAUUUACACAUAUAUAAUUUGACAUUUUUAUAAUUUUAUUUUUUACUAAAAAUAAAUCAUGAAAAUAAUAAAAUAUGCAUAAAAAUAAAAAUACAGCUACCGAGUAUAUGUCUUAAUGUAGAUUUAUAACAAUUAUCUUUUCAUAAAGAUAUUUUAUUAUAAAAUAUAUAAUAAGCACUUCCCUGUAACAAAUAAAAUUGUAGUAAACAAAUGAAAUUAUUAUAAAGAAGAAUUUUCUAUUUUCAUAAUAAUAAUAAUAAUAAUAAUAAUAAAAGAAAAGAAAAAAGUGGUUCUAUUAAUUCACCUCACAUUUGAAAUGUGUUAUAUGUAAUAAUAUUAAUGUCUUUAUCAAUUUUGGUGGUUCAUCCUUUCCCAUCUCUAUAAACACUACACCAGAAUAGGUUUUUAGCGGCGUUUUUUAGGCCUUUAGCGACGCUUAUUAACGCCACUAAAUCUAUUUCCGGCACUUACAAAAAAAAGCCGCUAAAGAUCAUGUUCUUUAGCGGCGCUUAGGAAAAAACGCCGCAAAAAAUCAUGUUCUUUAGCGGCGCUUAGAAAAAAACGCCGCUAAAGAUCAUGUUCUUUAACGGCGCUUAGAAAAAAACGCCGCUAAAGAUCAUGUUCUUUAGCGGCGCUUUGGAAGAAAACACCUCUAAAAGUAAUGUUCUAUAGCGGCGCUUGUUCAAAAACGCCGCUAAAAGUAGUGUUCUUUAGCGUCGCUUGUUUCACAAACGCCACUGUUUUGAUAUGACUUUUAGCGGCGCUUUUUUAAAAAAUGUCACUAAUUUUGGGAUUUUUUUAAAAUAAAAUUUUCUGUUUUUUUCAGCCCUCCUGCAACAACAAAUCAAAAGCAACCAGAUCUAAACUAACCAAAAAUAAUAAAUUUAUAUAAUAUUUCAAAUUAAAUGAAUAAAAUAAUAUUAAUUGAUAUAAAUAAAAGUGAAUUUCAGACUUUUCUUUACAAAAACGUUAAAAGUAUUUAUGCAACAUACACUAUGACGGCGGAAGUUGCGACUGCUGAAACAUCUUCAUCAUAAUCUAAAGCUGCUGUUGAAGUUCGUCGUACUUUUUGCUCUACUUUGCUUCUCUCGAUGCCGCAUCUUUUUGAAGCCGUAGCUGUAGUUCUUCACAUUUCUUUUGAACCUCUGCUUCUAUCGCUGCUUAUCUCGCUACGGCAUCUGCUUCCCUCACUGCUGCCUCUGAUUUAAGUUGUUGCUGAAGUUCUUCAUAUUUCCUUUGAACCUCAAAUGUGGUCGCUUGCAUCUGAGUCAUCUAGUCUUUUAACCUCUGAACUUCAGCUUGAGACUGACUCCCCGAAGCCAUGUAUUGGUGCGAGCUGGAUCCAAAAUAUUGGGUUGGGCUGAUAAAAGAUCCUUGAAAUCGAACCCGACCAUACUUUUCAGGACCCAAAACUUUAGUAAUAAUCCGGUUAUCAAUGUCUUCAAGAUGAAUAGAACUAUCACUAGAAGCAAUCGUUUCGUACUCUGUCUUUUUUUCCUUCAGUUUUUCCUAAUAAAUAAAUCACAUAGUUAGGAACGCAAUAUAUAGUAAAAAAAACAAAUGCAAUAUAACAAUAGUCGCAUUACAAGCAAUGAAUUAAACCAUUAGAAAAUAAACACUAUAAAUAACUAAAACAAGUGAAAUCGUAUUAAGUAAACGUACCAUAAUUUCACCAGCUUCAGGAGUCAUAGCAGAUCCAUCUUUCUUCUUAUGUGUAAUUUCAAAAAGUUGAAGGCGUCCAACUUUUUGAUCGGACGACCGUUCCUACAACACUCUUUUUUAAGUUUUUAUUGGGGGAUAUUUGCUUGAUGUAAGUGAGAUAUUUUGGAGAGAGUGAUUUGUAAUAAUUUAGGUUCAAUAUUGAAGUUGCAAAUAACUAUAAGGUAAUGGUAAUUUAGACUUUAGUCAAUAGUUAAUCAAGACGAAUUGUAAAUAAAAAUUAUUUUUUAAGCGAAACUCUACAGAAUAAAACUAGUGAACUCAAACUACUGAACUCAAACUACGCUAACAAAUAUUACAUAUUAUCUUUCCUUACUUUACUUGUUGCUUUACCUUAUUUUAAAAUUGUUUUGUCAUAAAUGUAUUAUGUUUGAACCUUUCCGAUCGAAAUAAAAAAAAUGAGAUUGAAAUUGUGAUAAAGCUAAAAAAAGGUUACAACAAAUAUGAUUAAUAUUAUUUUUAUAUAUACUUAAUAAAAGUUAAAAAGGGAAUUACAUUUAUUGAAUAUUAUUUUAUUUAAUAAAAUAUAAUUACUAUAUUUUAUAUAAAAUUUAAAUAUUUUAUUGUUUGUUAGUUAAAUUUUAUUUUUUUUUAUUUUCUUUAUGAAUAAAAUUAAUUUUCCUAAAAUUUGAGAUAAAAAAUGUUAUAUAGAAAAUUAAAUUAGUAAAAAGUUAAAAAAAUCAAUUCUAAAAUAAACUUAACUAUUAUAAUAAAAUAUUUUUAUAUAAAAAAAAAGAAAUUAUAGAAAAGACUUAUUGAAUAUAUUUCCUAUUUUCGACAUUCAUAAAAAAAAAAAAGUGGUCCUAAUAAUUUUUUUAUACAAAACAAAAAAAAGUGGUCCUAUUAAUUUACCUCACAUUUGAAAUGUGUUAUAUGUAAUAAUAUUAAUAUCUUUAUCAAUUUUGGAGGUUCAUCCUUUCCCAUCUCUAUAAAUUUGCAUGCAGAACUAAAGCAACACAUAUCAACACAAUCUGUAUAACCAUGAAAACCACAACAGCUUCGGUGUUUCUUCUUUUCAUCAUCUUCUCAAUCACACCAUUGUCCUUUUCGUUUGGUGUGGCCAACACUUCAAACGCUCCUGUGCUCGACAGUGAUGGCAACGAGCUCCGCACAGGCACCCCAUACUUCGUUGUGUCGUCGAUAUGGGGUGCUGGUGGUGGGGGGCUUGCCCUAGGCAUGCCUAGAGGAAAGCCAUGCCCGGAAGUCGUUGCUCAAAGAGGAUCUGGUGACGAUGGUAUUCCGGUGAUAUUUUCUAAUUCGGACUCCAACGAUGGCGUUGUUCGCCUAUCCUCUGACAUAAACAUAGAGUUCAUUCCCCUCAGACCCAGAUUUUGCCAAACAACAACGGUGUGGAAGGUCGAUGAUUACGACCACUCAGCCGGAAAAUGGUGGGUGAUAACCGAUGGGGUUAAAGGGAACCCAGGUGCCAACACUUUGACCAGUUGGUUUAGAAUAGAGAAGGCGAGUCAUCUUGAUUACACAUUUAAGUACUGCCCCGCAGUAUGUGGAACAUGCCCGGCUUUAUGCAACAAAAUUGCGAGAGACUUAGAUGGAGAAAUGAUGCGUUUGGCUCUCUCCACUGACCAUGGAUGGCCAUUUUUCUUUAAGAAACUUCAAACAUCAGCCAUGGAGAUUGAACAAGUUGUUCAUAAUUAGAUUGAAAGCAAUCAUUAUGCAUGAACUAGUAGUUACUAUACAAUAUUAGCUUCAAGUAAAUAAUGCUGAGAGAACUGAUUGUUAAGAUUGCCUUGUUUGAAGCAGAAGCAUGCAUAUAUAUAUGCUUGCCUACAAGGUUUGUCUCUCAGAAUCCUCUUUGUACUCUUUUCAGCUUAAUAUAUAAACUGUCUACUUAUUUACUUCUUUUAUUAAUGUCAUUGAUUCUAGUAGUAUUAGACUCAUUAACUUGGAUACAUUGUCUUGUAAUUAACCCAAAAAUUAUAUAUAUAUCAAAAAAAAAAAUGAGAGUGAGAGAGGAAAAUAGACUACCAAGUAACAAGUGAAAAAUGGUAAUACUAGGGUUAUUUAGAGUGGUUUCAAUGCACAACCGGAAUGAAUUGUUACCUUAUCUUUAGAGUCAAAGAAGGGUUCGUGACUAGUCUUUCAACAAUACUAUUUUCAAGGUUCAAACCUGCAUUAUCCUUUAAAUACGUAAUGUAUUUUAUCAUUACGCUCAAUAUUAUUAGUGAUUUACUUUAUUCUAUUCUUAAUUAAUAAUUAUGAUAUAUAUAAAGUUUAAGAUGGAUUUUCUUAUUUAUGUAUAUCAAUUAAAUCAAAUAUUUGUAUUUAAAGUUUUAACCCAACAUUAACUUUUUUUUUAAAAAUUUCUUCGUUUGUUGGUGGUGAUUAGGAGAUUGAUGGCCGGUCUUUGUGAUUGGUAGCUUUUAACACAAUGGCGAAGCUAAGGAGGCUUUAAAUGUUUAAAUGAAUAUUUUUUUCAAUUGAAAUUUCUUUAUAAUUUAUAAAAUUUUAAAUUAAUAAUGAUAAAAUUACAUUUUAAUUUUUUAAAAAUGAUAAAAACGUGGAAGCACAUUUGUACGAUUAAUAAUAAUGAUAAUAUUUUUCCUACCACAUGGAAGUUUAUGGAAACACCAUUGGGUUUUGUAUUUAUGUUUUAUUCGACACUCUUAUAAGUUUUACUGGGGAGAUUUGUUUGAUUGUAAGUGAGGUAUUUUGCGGAGAGUGAUUUAUAAUAAUUUAAAAUUAAUAUUGGGGUUACAAAUAACUAUGGGAGUAAAGUAGUUUAGACUUUAGCUAAUAAUUGAUCAAGAUGGAUUGUAGAAUAAAAUCAUUUUCGAAGCAAAAUUUUAUAAAAUUAGUAAAUCUGAAUUAUUCUAUAAUAUUGAUAUUAUCUUUCUUCACUUUAGCCCUUGCUUCACCUUAUCUCAAAAUUAUUCUAUAAUAAUCUAUUUUGUCUCAACCUUUUCAACAGAAUUUAAAAUGAAACUAUUUCUAUGAAGUGCAAACCAAAAACUUUUUCACAUACCAAUAAAUGGCAAGCAACCAUACCGUGGGCCCAAUGUCCCAACAAUCAUCUAAACAUUUUUUUUUUCUUUUUUAAAUAAUAUGUAAUAAUUUAUAUACCAUAAAUGAAUAUUAAUUAAAAUAAUAUAAACAAAAUACGACUCUUUAAUAUAAUAUGGAUCCAAAAUGUUUCAUAUUUGAAAUGCAGUUUUUGAUAAUUUCACAUUUCAUAUUUUAUCUUAGAACAAAAAGAAAAUUUGAACUUAAUAUUUGGACUAUUGAUCAAUGGUGUUUAUUAUAUUUCAAGACUAUCAGAUUAAUCUGUCGAUACUACUUAUAUGGUAUGGUUUAAAUGGGUGUGUGUGGAUAUAGAAAUUUGAAAUUCUAUUGUAUCAAAGAAAUUUUUUUUAAAAAUAAAAUAAAAAGGAAUUUGAAAUUUAAAAUUUGAGAUCAAAAUAAAAAAAAUGAGACUUGUUAUAAACCAUAAGGCUCAAAAAAGGUUACAACAAAUAUGGUUAAUAUUAUUUUUAUAUAUACUUAAUAAAAGUUUAAAAUAUCAAAUUUGUAAUAUUAUUUUUAUUUAAUAAAAUAUAAUUAAUAUAUUUUAUAUAAAAUUUAAAUAUUUUAUUGAAAUAUUAUGUUAGGUAAAUUUUAUUAAUUUUAUUUUCUUUAUAAAUAAAAUUAAUUUUAUUAAAAUUUGAGAUAAGAUAAUUAAAUUAAUAAAAGGUAUACUUCAUAUUUUAUAGUUAUUAUAAAUAAAAAAUUAUUAUAAAAAUUAAAAAAAAAGAAUUCUACAACAUAAUGAAAUAUUUUUAUUAAAAAAAACAGAAAUGAUUGAUGGAAUAUAUUUCCAAUUUUCGACGUUCAUUAAAAAAAAAAGAGUGGUCCUAAUAAUUGAUUUAUUGGGGAAAAAAAAGUGGUCCUACUAAUUUACCUCACAUUUGAAAUGUGUUAUAUGUAAUAAUAUUAAUAUCUUUAUCAAUUUUGGAGGUUCAUCCUUUCCCAUCUCUAUAAAUUCGCAUCGAGAAAUAAAGCAAUACAUCAACGCAAUCUGUAUAACCAUGAAAACCACAACAGCUUCAGUGUUUCUUCUUUUCAUCAUCUUCUCAGUCACACCAUCAUCUUUUUUGUUUGGUGUAGCCAACGCUACAAACGAACCUGUACUCGACAUUGAUGGCAACGAGGUUCAAACAGGCACCCCAUAUUACGUUGUGUCGUCCAUAUGGGGUGCUGGUGGUGGGGGGCUUGCCCUAGGCAGGCCUAGCGGAAACCCAUGCCCGGAAGUCGUUGCUCAAAGACGAUCCGGUGACGAUGGUAUUCCGGUGAUAUUUUCUAAUUCGGACUCCAACGAUGGCGUUGUUCGCCUAUCCUCUGACAUAAACAUAGAGUUCAUUCCCCUCAGACCCAAACUUUGCCGAACAACAACGGUGUGGAAGGUCGAUGAUUACGACCAUUCAGCCGGAAAAUGGUGGGUGAUAACGGAUGGGGUUAAAGGGAACCCGGGUGCCAACACUUUGACCAGUUGGUUUAGGAUAGAGAAGGCGGGUGAUCUUGAUUACACAUUUAAGUACUGCCCUGCAGUAUGUGGAACAUGCCCAGCUUUAUGCAACAAAAUUACGAGAGACUCAGAUGGAGAAAUGGUACGUUUGGCUCUCUCCACUGGCAAUGGAUGGCCAUUUUACUUUAAGAAAGUUGGAAAAUCAGCCAUGGAGAUUCAACAAGUUGCUCGUAAUUAGAUUGAAAGCAAUCAUUAUGCAUGAACUAGUAGUUACUACAUAAUAUUAGCUUCAAGUAAAUAAUGCUGAGAGAACUUAUUGUUAAGAUUGCCUUGUUUGAAGCGGCAGCAUGUAUAUAUAUAU
RNAcentral lists this long non-coding RNA (21488 nucleotides) under Gossypium barbadense (sea-island cotton). RNAcentral's name for it is "long non-coding RNA (GBAR_LNC020333)". Lineage: Eukaryota; Viridiplantae; Streptophyta; Magnoliopsida; Malvales; Malvaceae. The record is from RNAcentral.